AACGCACAUUGCGCCCCCUGGUAUUCCGGGGGGCAUGCCUGUUCGAGCGUCAUUUCACCAAUCAAGCCACGCUUGGUAUUGGAUGCGGCCUGGCCCCCCGUGGCCGGGCCCGCCCGAAAUGCAUCGGCGAGGACACCGACCCCCGGCGUGUUAAGAAUCUCACAGUUCGUGACGUCGGGAGCACCGGUCGACCUCCGCCGUGAAACUUGUCAUCAAGUUGACCUCGGAUCAGGUAGGAAUACCCGCUGAACUUAA
This 255-nucleotide unclassified non-coding RNA is filed under the name Penicillium sp. RNAcentral's name for it is "partial contains 5.8S ribosomal RNA, internal transcribed spacer 2, and large subunit ribosomal RNA". The stretch from base 1 to 52 matches the Rfam family "5.8S ribosomal RNA", at positions 103 to 154 of the family's 154-position model. The record is from RNAcentral. Lineage: Eukaryota; Fungi; Ascomycota; Eurotiomycetes; Eurotiales; Aspergillaceae.